CCGAGCCCACUCCCCAUGACCGUGGCCUAUUCUCACGGCACCCCCACCCAGUUGGUAACCAGUCUCCGUGACACUGGAUUGGGCGCACGGCGUCGGCGGAGGAGAGGAGGAGCUAAGAAGACGACGGCGUCGGUGGGGGGAGAGGAGAGGGGGUUAAGAGGGUGGUGGCGGCGGCGGAGAGCAGAGUAGGUACAUCGGUCCCGGAUCUGCAGUAGCCGAGUCAGGCGCCGCCAUACCUACUCCUCCGCUCUCGAAGUCUCCGUCCCCGCUCCUUCGUCUCUCAGGAAGGGCUCCCGCGGGGUUGGACGGUCUAGAAGGUUGAGUAGCCGGGUCCGUUCUACCUCGUCCUGCCCCACUGCUAAGGACCGCCGCAAGCGCACGAAACCGAUCGCCGGACGUGAAGGAAGAAGGGGACCACUCAACAGGAACUAGACUUUUUUAUAAAUGAAGGGUGACUAAACAACGAACAGCCGCCCUCGGACCCCGCGGCGGUACCGGUUAUCCUCUUCGUGCCCACUGGCGACGUCGACUCGAAUGUACAUUCUAUCGGGGCUCGGGGGCUGUGUAGGAGACGGUGUGGUUGGAACGUCGUAGACCGGAAACGUCUAAGUAAAUCCAUAGGUGGAUGGAUGUUCAACAAACUACUUUUAGGUUUGACGACGUCCCCGUCUAAUUAUAUACACAUUAUUAUAUACGAACUACUGGACGAGUUUAAACAUGACUGUAAAUGCAGGUCAGGAACUAAUCAAGAAAACGUUUCGUCCAAGUUGACAACUUUCGAUACCUAAAUGACGAACCGGUAGUACAAACUCGACUAUAAGACGAAAGAAAGAAAGAUCUCUAUAAGUUCUUUCUUCUAUCACGCUGUUCCGAUUUCCCGAUGAUACCAUUUUUAGAAAGAAAUAAAACAACACUGGACAGAAUAAACCAAGAUAACACGUAUUUCUUAUGAACCAAAAUAGUUGAGGGUCGAACUAUCAAUUGACGAAGGUAGAUAGUUGAGGGUCGAACUGUCAAUCUACAAAGGUAGAAAUAUAAGAUUAAACUACAAAAAACUAAGUACCAUAUACCUCCUACGUCUUUUACUACCUCGCGUACUACGAAGUCGUCUAAGACGUAAUAACAGUUUGCGGAAAGGACUCCACAAUAAACAAAUGUGGACUCCUACUUUUAUUUCAACAUACAGGGUGAUUAAUCUAGUUGACGAGUCCCUUUUUUUCUCUACACGGAAGAAACGUAAUCGAGGUGGUACCAAGACGGUAUACAGAUUAAUGCUACGUGGGAAAAGUCUGGUAAAGGUGGCGUGUACACACAAGCACGAGUAAAAAACAAGAGACUGAAAAACUAGUACGGAUACUUACGGGUAGCAUAUAUAAACAAGUGACAGAAAACUAGUGUCAACACAUAUGUGAGUACGGAUGACAUAAGGGACGUAAAAAGGAGAUGAUACGUUUGAAGAAUGGGAACCUGAUGAUUAAUUUAGUUCGAACGGUGAAACAUGUCACACUAAUAAAGUACAUAAAAACCAUACACAAUCGAUACUGAACUGACCGAGGUCAGACCAUCUCUUGUGUUGAUUAAACGUAAAGGACCUUAUUUUAAUGAUAAACACUAAAACCAUACCCGAUCGAAACUAAACCUACUAAAGUUCAGUCCUUGUACUCACCCGAUUACAUAAUACGUACUGGUACCCUUCUGCCAUAAAAGAUACCAUCUUAAUCACACCACCAUAUUUUAAUAUUCAAGUGAAGUACCAGCCAUCCAAGUGGCGACGUAAAACAAACAGCUACGGAACUGAAAAUCCGACAGUGUCCAUCAGCGCGCAGCGGCGCCCGCUCAGAGACUAGCGGAACGAGACAAAGUGACAAAGUUAUAAAGGUUGAAUAAUGUACUUACCUAGAUUUUAUUGUUUGAAAGUUGUAGGAUACGAAAAAGAUGCUCAACUACCAAAAAUGAAUUGGUAUUUACGAAGGUACUAUACGACCGUGUAAGAGAGUGAAGUAAGGACCUAAAACGACUGUUCCUAACCUUUAAAGAUAAUGGGGGCUCUUGAUUUUUAAUAGCUGGUGAGCUAAUGUACCACAACUUAAUAAACUUGCGAUGGUUACAGAUAUAUCUUUUUAUUCCUUUGAAAAAAAUUGAGAUAACUCGUUACUCAUGUGAGAUGUUCCAAUCGGAACGACGGUAACCAUAAUUUCAUGAUCGUUAAUAGAAAUCGAUAAGAAGAAAGUAGAUAUAGGACUUCCUCUGGGCUACCGUACCGACAUGUUCACCGUGGGUGAGAUGUUCCAAUCGGAACGACGGUAACCAUAAUUUCAUGAUCGUUAAUAGAAAUCGAUAAGAAGAAAGUAGAUAUAGGACUUCCUCUGGGCUACCGUACCGACAUGUUCACCGUGGGGACCAGUCCACCUGCAACCUACGAAAGAAGUCACAAAGAGAAAAGGGCGUCCGAACUAAAGGAACACCAGCAUUGGGUUGAGGGUUUUCAGUUGCGAAAGAACCUCAGGAUUAGGUAGAUGAACAGGGGGAGAGACAAGAAAGAUAACAUUGCGCUAGAAAGAACCUCAGGAUUAGGUAGAUGAACGAGGGGAGAGACUUCUAUAGUACGAUACCCUGAAAAGCCGUCUUGGAUUUGAUACCAAAAUGAACGUCGAGUCAAAAGUGUAGGAAGGGUCCAAAGUGUUUUUGUAUUUGUACGAACCUACACACAGGAACGGCCGCUGGAGCGACAGAGGUUGGGUAGGCAGACCUGUCCAUCGAACGAUAGGAGAGUAGCACAGAUAACCACGUCAUAGAGUAUAGGAGAGAGCUUCUCUACUCUAUUCCUAAUUUCCUGAUGGUUGACUCAAGAUGUCGAGUGGAGUGGUUAUUACCUUCUGUAGGAGUGGAGUGGAUAUUACCUUCUGUAGGGCUCAGUAACAAAACGUACGAUCUAUUGUUGUUGAUAGUGCAACCACUAAAGGGACUAUAGACCAAGAUGUUCACACAGUAUACCUGGUUACUUUCUUUUCUAUAAAGCCUCUAUUAUUGAUAUACCCGAUGAGGUUUACCAGACUGUCACCUUGGUUGAAAAUAUCCGGGAGUUCAUGGACACCUUCAGAUGGUACGUUCGUAAUAGGCUGCUACUGUGACGAAAAAGCAUGUAUAGUAGAAUUCUGGUACCAGUCUGAUUCUUCUACGGAUUUAUUCGGUACUCCGACGGAUAUAUAUUCACAAAAAGAUAUUUGACUAGAUUCAGUAAGAUGAUAGACAUUUGGUUAAAUUCAAUAAGAUGAUAAACAUUUGGGUAGAUUCAGUAACAUAAUGGACGUUAUGUUAGGUGUAACGUAAUAGAAAGUAAGAUGUAUAGAAUGAAUGAG
This 3359-nucleotide ribosomal RNA is filed under the name Triticum aestivum (bread wheat). Its description in RNAcentral is "partial small subunit ribosomal RNA". The record is from RNAcentral. Lineage: Eukaryota; Viridiplantae; Streptophyta; Magnoliopsida; Poales; Poaceae.